Molecule: small nucleolar RNA, 106 nt
Organism: Lathyrus oleraceus (garden pea)
Lineage: Eukaryota; Viridiplantae; Streptophyta; Magnoliopsida; Fabales; Fabaceae
Source: RefSeq, a predicted model, not a curated record
AUGCCAAGGUGGGUACAUUGUUUAAGAAGCUCCUUGAAUCUUUCCCAAGCAUCAAAUAAGGUCUCAUCCUCUCCUUGACUAAACGAGGUUAUCUCAUAUCUUGUUU